RNAcentral lists this ribosomal RNA (706 nucleotides) under uncultured bacterium. Its description in RNAcentral is "bacterial SSU rRNA". It matches the Rfam family "Bacterial small subunit ribosomal RNA", at positions 562 to 1255 of the family's 1533-position model. The record is from RNAcentral.
AAAGGGUUGCGUAGGUGGUCGGGGUAAGUCUGAUGUGAAAUCUCCGAGCUUAACUCGGAAAUGGCAUUGGAUACUAUUCGGCUGGAGGGUUGGAGGGGGGACUGGAAUUCUCGGUGUAGCAGUGAAAUGCGUAGAUAUCGAGAGGAACACCAGUGGCGAAGGCGAGUCCCUGGACAACUCCUGACACUGAGGCACGAAAGCUAGGGGAGCAAACAGGAUUAGAUACCCUGGUAGUCCUAGCCGUAAACGGUGCAUAUUUGCUGUAAAAGGAAUCGACCCCUUUUGUGGCGAAGCUAACGCGAUAAAUAUGCCGCCUGGGAAGUACGGUCGCAAGAUUAAAACUCAAAGAAAUUGACGGGGGCCUGCACAAGCGGUGGAGUAUGUGGCUUAAUUCGAUGCAACGCGAAGAACCUUACCUGGCCUUGACAUGUAUCUAGUAGAAGGGUGAAAGCCUGACGAGAUAGCAAUAUCAGGAUACACAGGUGCUGCAUGGCUGUCGUCAGCUCGUGUCGUGAGAUGUUGGGUUAAGUCCCGCAACGAGCGCAACCCUUAUGUCCUGUUGCCACUUGAACGAGAGUUCGAAGCACUCUGGACAGACUGCCUCGCUUAAACGAGGAGGAAGGUGGGGAUGACGUCAAGUCAGUAUGGCCCUUACGGUCAGGGCUGCACACGUACUACAAUGCCCGGGCACAAAGGGAAGCAAGAC